RNAcentral lists this ribosomal RNA (497 nucleotides) under uncultured bacterium. RNAcentral describes it as "partial 16S ribosomal RNA". It matches the Rfam family "Bacterial small subunit ribosomal RNA", at positions 28 to 507 of the family's 1533-position model. The record is from RNAcentral.
GAUGAACGCUGGCGGCGUGCCUAAUACAUGCAAGUCGAGCGAACAGACGAGGAUCUUGCUGCUCUGACGUUAGCGGCGGACGGGUGAGUAACACGUGGAUAACCUACCUAUAAGACUGGGAUAACGUCGGGAAACCGGAGCUAAGACCGGAUAAUAUAUUGAACCGCAUGGUUGAAUAGUGAAAGACGGUUUUGCUGUCACGUAUAGAUGGAUCCUCGCCGGAUUAGCUAGUUGGUAAGGUAACGGCUUACCAAGGCAACGAUGCGUAGCCGACCUGAGAGGGGGAUGGGCCACACGGGAGCUGAGACGCGGUCCAGAGUCCUACGGGCGGCCGAAGCAGCGAAUCUUCGGCACAGGGCGGAAGCUUGCAGGAGCAACGCAGCGUGAGUGAUGCAGGUCUUCGGAUCGUAAGACUCUGUUAUUAGGGAAGACCAAAUGUGUAAGUAACUAUGCACGUCUUGACGGUACCUAGUCAGAAAGCAACGGCUAACUACGUG